Molecule: ribosomal RNA, 435 nt
Filed under: uncultured bacterium
Lineage: Bacteria
Description: partial 16S ribosomal RNA
Rfam family: Bacterial small subunit ribosomal RNA
Source: RNAcentral
AGCGAACGCUGGCGGCAGGCUUAACACAUGCAAGUCGAGCGGGCACUUUCGGGUGUCAGCGGCGGACGGGUGAGUAACGCGUGGGAACGUGCCCUCUGGUUCGGAAUAACUCAGGGAAACUUGAGCUAAUACCGGAUACGCCCUUUUGGGGAAAGGCUUGCUGCCGGAGGAUCGGCCCUCGUCUGAUUAGCUAGUUGGUGAGGUAACGGCUCACCAAGGCGACGAUCAGUAGCUGGUCUGAGAGGAUGAUCAGCCACACUGGGACUGAGACACGGCCCCGACUCCUACGGGAGGAAGCAGUGGGGAAUAUUGGACAAUGGGCGCAAGCCUGAUCCAGCCAUGCCGCGUGAGUGAUGAAGGCGUUAGGGUUGUAAAGCUCUUUUAUCCGGGACGAUAAUGACGGUACCGGAGGAAUAAGCCCCGGCUAACUUCGUG